GCUCAGGCUUUUUGAAUGUCUGUCCCUAGCCCAAAAAGCUCCAGUUCCUACAAACCCUGACAGAGCCCAAGGCCUGACCCCUGUAGAUAAAUGGAUUUCUGCUCUGCUUCCUUCCUGCCUGCCAUGCCAAUUGCGGGCUGCCCCUCCCCCUUGCUCUAAGCUGGGGGCCAGAGCCAGAAUACACACAAGAAAUGGGCCAAACCAGGAGAUGGGUUUUAACCAGGCAGGAGGCCAGAGAUAAUCAGGAAGGCAAUAAACAGGCAUGCCAAAGCCUCUGAUGUGUUGCCUCUGGUGUGUUAUCACUGCUGCAGUUAGGAGGAGGGGAGACAGCACUCCCUUGGGAGAUAGAAAAUUUCCAUCAAGGACAUCUCCACACAGCAACAAUGAUUCACUCCCUUCCCCACGCAUGCCAAGAGAGAGCCGGCACCAGGCAGCAAAGCAGAGAACCAUGAAGCAGCUCAGAGGAUACAUCUGCCUUUUGUUUGGAUGAGGAGCAGACCGGACAGGGAAGCAUAUGGGAGAGCAGCAACAUGAUAUACUGAUCCUCCAUGAUCAGGCGAGACAUGCCUUCAUAGCUGCCUGCACAGCCUGAGGAAACCCCGCUGCAGUUUCAGGAACUCCCUGUUGUGCUAGUUCUGGAAUGCUGAAGUGAAGCGAGAGGCUGGAUACUGCUCAUUUGCAUAUCAUUACCUAGGGUGGUUUUCCAGCUCAUAGCUGGCUCCCCACAGAAGUCUGACUUAAGAAAGUUAUGAAUUCCUUUUGCGCCAUGUCUUCAAGUUCACACAGCUCUAUGGAGCCCAGCAAGGCUCGAGUGAAUCCUGCCCCCAAACCAACAGAGAUGUCCUACCACAGAAAGCAGUCAGUGACAAACAUAUUUACACUAACCAUACUUUACCAUUCACAGA
This is a long non-coding RNA of Gavialis gangeticus (Gharial), 905 nucleotides long. RefSeq lists it as uncharacterized. NCBI's taxonomy places the organism in Eukaryota, Metazoa, Chordata, Crocodylia, Gavialidae. The record is from RefSeq and is a predicted model, not a curated record. The transcript has 2 exons.